GUAGUAGUAUGGUAGUAGGGGCCAGGCGGCGGUAGUAGUAGUAGUAUGGUAGUAGGUGCCAGGCGGUAGUAGUAGUAUGGUAGUAGGGACCAGGCGGUAGUAGUAGUAGUAUGGUAGUAGGUGCCAGGCGGUAGUAGUAGUAUGGUAGUAGGGGCCAGGCGGUAGUAGUAGUAUGGUAGUAGGUGCCAGGCGGUAGUAGUAGUAGUAUGGUAGUAGGUGCCAGGCGGUAGUAGUAGUAUGGUAGUAGGUGCCAGGCGGUAGUAGUAGUAGUAUGGUAGUAGGGGCCAGGCGGUAGUAGUAUGGUAGUAGGGGCCAGGCGGUAGUAGUAUGGUAGUAGGGGCCAGGCGGUAGUAGUAUGGUAGUAGGGGCCAGGAGGUAGUAGUAGUAUGGUAGUAGGGGCCAGGCGGUAGUAGUAGUAGUAUGGUAGUAGGGGCCAGGCGGUAGUAGUAUGGUAGUAGGGGCCAGGCGGUAGUAGUAUGGUAGUAGGGCCAGGCGGUAGUAGUAUGGUAGUAGGGGCCAGGCGGUAGUAGUAUGGUAGUAGGGGCCAGGCGGUAGUAGUAUGGUAGUAGGGGCCAGGCGGCGGUAGUAGUAUGGUAGUAGGUGCCAGGCGCACCGGUUUAAGUGUAUCUAGAACUGUAACACCACUGGGUUUUUCACGUUCAACAGUUUCCCGUGUUUAUC
Molecule: long non-coding RNA, 681 nt
Organism: Oncorhynchus tshawytscha (Chinook salmon)
Lineage: Eukaryota; Metazoa; Chordata; Actinopteri; Salmoniformes; Salmonidae
Source: Ensembl